GUUGUUCGGAGUUACUGGGCGUAAAGCGUGCGUAGGCGGUGUCUUAAGUUUGUUGUGAAAUCUCCCGGCUUAACCGGGAGGGUGCGGCGAAUACUGAGAUGCUGGAGUGCCGGAGAGGUAAGCGGAAUUCCUGGUGUAGCGGUGAAAUGCGUAGAUAUCAGGAGGAACACCUGCGGUGUAGACGGCUUACUGGACGGUAACUGACGCUGAGGCACGAAAGCGUGGGUAGCAAACAGG
This 237-nucleotide ribosomal RNA is filed under the name uncultured bacterium. RNAcentral describes it as "partial 16S ribosomal RNA". It matches the Rfam family "Bacterial small subunit ribosomal RNA", at positions 540 to 776 of the family's 1533-position model. The record is from RNAcentral.